This 1945-nucleotide long non-coding RNA is filed under the name Homo sapiens (human). RNAcentral's name for it is "non-protein coding lnc-KLHL8-2:1". Lineage: Eukaryota; Metazoa; Chordata; Mammalia; Primates; Hominidae. The record is from RNAcentral.
AUUGCUUUCUUGAUUUCUUUUUCCACUAGUUCAUUGUUGGCGUAUAGAAAUACUACUGAUUUUUGUAUAUUAGUUUUGUGUCCUGCAACUUUACUGAAUUCAUUUACCAAAUCUAACAAUUUUUUUGGCAGAGUCGAGGCUUUUCUAGAUGUAAGAUUAUAUUCUCAGUGGGGAGCGACAAUUUGGAAGCCUUUUAUUUAUUUCUCUUGCCUAAUUGCUCUGGCUAGACUUCCUCUGUUUCUUUGGUUUCUAUCUUUUUUAUUUCUCUGGGCAUUUCAUACAUAGUUAUCUUUAUAUCCUGUAGCCAGUAAUUCCAAUAUCUGAAGUCCCUUGAGGGUCUAAAUCUGUUUAUUGUCUCUGUUGACAGGGUCUUGCUUUGCUGCCCAGGUUGGAGUGCAAUGACGUGAACAUGACUCACUGCAGCCUUGACCUCCCGGGCUCAAGUGGUUCUCCCACCUCUGUCUACUGAGUAGUAGGCACUACAGGCCCGCACCACUAUGCCCGGCUAAUUUCUCUACAUUACUUUCAAUACCCAAUACAAUAACUACACAUCACUUCAUUCGCGUGGAUGCAACACAGUACUUGGCACAUGGCAAAUUCGUUUUGUCUUUUAGAACUUCGUGGGAAUUUUUCACCCUGAAUAUUUUCUAUCUCCGUUGAAUCCACCAAUGCAGCACCCAUGGAUAUGGAAGGCUAACUGUAAUUUGUUUUACUAUUUAUUUGUAAAUCAGCUUAAAAAUAGGAUGGAAAAAUUACAUUCUCGUGUAUAUGUAAGCUUGGGAAGCUCUUUAAAACCACUCUACCAGGAUCACUUGCUUCUUCCCUUGAGAUUGUGAAUUCCUCAGUUGCAGUCCUGGGUACCAAGUUUUACCUGCACAAGGAGUUUCUUCAAAGAUUGUAGUUCAAAGAUGGAAAACUAAAGGCAUUUUUCUGUAGUUCAUUCAGUUGAGCACGACUGGUUUUCCACAUCCAGUAGUGUGAGUAUUCCUAAGAAAAUAUGUGCUCAUGCACCUUUUUUGAGAAGGGGUUGGUAGUGUUUCUUAGAGGAUAAUUUAUAGGAAUAGUUAGCAGUGAAGAUAUCAGAACCUGUAAUUGUUUCUUCCUCCUACACAUGAAAUAAGGUAAAUGAGAUGUUAGGACUGGGCCUCCAUAAUAGAGAAGGGUGAUUUAAAGCACUUAUCCAGGGGAGGCACAUGGUCUUUUUAAAGCUAAAAUAGAAUUGUGUGUUCAAAGAGCAUUUCAAGGCCUGCCCUCAGUCUGUUGGAAGGGCAAAGUCCCUUAUUAUCAGAGCCUUGGUGUCUCAGUACAGUCUUGCUUUCAGCUGAGUGUGGUCUACUGGAAAACCACAAACGCUGAAAGAGUCCUGUUCCUCAGACAAAACAGACUAGACAGUACAAUUAUCUAAUCACUACCAAAGUAACAGCAGAUAAACCUCCGAUUAUAUUCUGGUAAAGACACAUGGGGCUUCAAAGUUAUUUGGAAUGGAUUUGAGGGUUCUAAGCACCACCUAGAUGACUUACUUAAAAGUAGCCUGGAUUGUGACCAUUUACAUUCCUGACAACCCUGGCAAAUAGUGAGCCAGUACCUAUUCAAAUAAUGCAGGCUCCAAAAGUGCCUAGAUACUUGCGAAUACAAUAACACAAAGGGAGACUACCACUUUAACCUCACAGAGUAGUUGCCAGUAUUCAGUGAUAGUAAAACUGCCUUGUACAGCAUCUGGGAAAUAGUCUGUAUGCACCUUAUGGAGACAUCAAAAGUCGGCAAGGACACUGCCGACUUAAAUUUUUUUUUUAAAGCCCAGCAUAAUACAAAUAAAAAACUUAAUUUGGAGAGAAAUACUUAACAAAAGGUUAAUAUCCUCUAAAUACAUAAAUCAAAAGGAAAAAGAUGCAUUUUUCAGCCUGGUGGAUCAUCUUUCUUUUCUUUACUGCUCAGCAUCCCCUUC